Molecule: ribosomal RNA, 491 nt
Filed under: uncultured bacterium
Lineage: Bacteria
Description: partial 16S ribosomal RNA
Rfam family: Bacterial small subunit ribosomal RNA
Source: RNAcentral
AGUGAACGCUGGCGGUAGGCCUAACACAUGCAAGUCGAACGGCAGCACAGUAAGAGCUUGCUCUUACGGGUGGCGAGUGGCGGACGGGUGAGGAAUACAUCGGAAUCUACUUUUUCGUGGGGGAUAACGUAGGGAAACUUACGCUAAUACCGCAUACGACCUACGGGUGAAAGCAGGGGAUCUUCGGACCUUGCGCGAUUGAAUGAGCCGAUGUCGGAUUAGCUAGUUGGCGGGGUAAAGGCCCACCAAGGCGACGAUCCGUAGCUGGUCUGAGAGGAUGAUCAGCCACACUGGAACUGAGAAACGGUCCAGACUCCUACGGGAGGCAGCAGUGGGGAAUAUUGGACAAUGGGCGCAAGCCUGAUCCAGCCAUACCGCGUGGGUGAAGAAGGCCUUCGGGUUGUAAAGCCCUUUUGUCGGGAAAGAAAAGCAGCAGGUUAAUACCCCGCUGUUCUGACGGUACCAAAAGAAUAAGCACCGGCUAACUUCGU